UGGGGAAUAUUGCACAAUGGGCGAAAGCCUGAUGCAGCAACGCCGCGUGAGGGACGACGGCCUUCGGGUUGUAAACCUCUUUUAGCAAGGAAGAAGCGAAAGUGACGGUACUUGCAGAAAAAGCGCCGGCUAACUACGUGCCAGCAGCCGCGGUAAUACGUAGGGCGCAAGCGUUAUCCGGAAUUAUUGGGCGUAAAGAGCUCGUAGGCGGUUUGUCGCGUCUGCUGUGAAAACCCGAGGCUCAACCUCGGGCCUGCAGUGGGUACGGGCAGACUAGAGUGCGGUAGGGGAGAUUGGAACUCCUGGUGUAGCGGUGGAAUGCGCAGAUAUCAGGAAGAACACCGAUGGCGAAGGCAGAUCUCUGGGCCGUAACUGACGCUGAGGAGCGAAAGGGUGGGGAGCAAACAGGCUUAGAUACCCUGGUAGUCCACCCCGUAAACGUUGGGAACUAGUCGUGGGGUCCAUUCCACGGAUUCCGUGACGCAGCUAACGCAUUAAGUUCCCCGCCUGGGGAGUACGGCCGCAAGGCUAAACUCAAAUGAAUUGACGGGGUCAUAGCUGUUUCCU
This 567-nucleotide ribosomal RNA is filed under the name uncultured bacterium. RNAcentral describes it as "partial 16S ribosomal RNA". It matches the Rfam family "Bacterial small subunit ribosomal RNA", at positions 355 to 1375 of the family's 1533-position model. The record is from RNAcentral.